This is a long non-coding RNA of Polyodon spathula (Mississippi paddlefish), 785 nucleotides long. RefSeq lists it as uncharacterized. The record is from RefSeq and is a predicted model, not a curated record. NCBI's taxonomy places the organism in Eukaryota, Metazoa, Chordata, Actinopteri, Acipenseriformes, Polyodontidae. The transcript is spliced from 3 exons.
GUUAUAUGAAGACAAAGCUCUGUCGUUGUUUUAUGGACAGCUUGUAAUUCAAUACGUGUUGCGUUUUUUUGAGUGAUGAUAUCGCGUGUGUAGCGCUGACAGGACUCUGGUCUGUCUACAAUUACACAUCCAUUUACCGGGGUGCGAGGUGGGGAGCGGAGGAAGGUGCUGGGCGUGCUUGAAACUUACGCAUAGACCCCAGGCUACGCUGGUUUUUGUACACAGGGUGAAGGAGAGGACCCUGAUCUGGGGCAGCCUUGUCUCCGCUGUGGGGAUCAGUGUCUCUCUCUCUCUCUCUUUCUCUCUUUGUCCCUCGUUGUUAACCCCUCUCUCCCUCUCUCUCUCAGCAGGGUGAAGGAGAGGACCCUGAUCUGGGGCAGCCUUGUCUCCGCUGUGGGAAUCAGUGUCCAGGCUUCAGGCUGCACGGAUGGAGGGCCCCCUAUCCCUCCCUCCCUGUCCUAAUUGAGUUAUCAACCCCCCUGUCCUCUCCCUUAACUGAUCACCCGUCUGUCUCCUCACUGAGACACUAACACGCUCUGUCACACUAACAGGAUUAUAGCUAAGCACCCCUAAUGAGCUUAACAUGAAGACUAUCAACUCUGACACCUGCACCUCCCUCCCUCCCUCCCUCCCUCCCUCCCCCCCCUGUGCUUUCCAAUACUUGUCUAUGCUUUACCACGCUUUAUUAUUCUUUGCUCUGGUUUUACUAUGGGCCACUUUUAUAAGUGAACAAAGUAUAGAAGUCUGGACCAGAACAAUCAAUACCUAAAUGGGAUUGAGACCAU